This 565-nucleotide ribosomal RNA is filed under the name Ogataea sonorensis. RNAcentral's name for it is "eukaryotic LSU rRNA". It matches the Rfam family "Eukaryotic large subunit ribosomal RNA", at positions 62 to 648 of the family's 3401-position model. Lineage: Eukaryota; Fungi; Ascomycota; Pichiomycetes; Pichiales; Pichiaceae. The record is from RNAcentral.
AAACCAACAGGGAUUGCCUUAGUAGCGGCGAGUGAAGCGGCAAGAGCYCAAAUUUGAAAUCUGGUACCUUCGGUGCCCGAGUUGUAAUUUGAAGAAAGCUAUCUUGGAUUUGGCCUUUGUCUAUGUUCCUUGGAACAGGACGUCACAGAGGGUGAGAAUCCCGUGCGAUGAGGUGUCCAUUUCUAUGUAAGAUGUUUUCGAAGAGUCGAGUUGUUUGGGAAUGCAGCUCUAAGUGGGUGGUAAAUUCCAUCUAAAGCUAAAUAUUGGCGAGAGACCGAUAGCGAACAAGUACAGUGAUGGAAAGAUGAAAAGAACUUUGAAAAGAGAGUGAAAAAGUACGUGAAAUUGUUGAAAGGGAAGGGUAUUAGAUCAGACUUGGUAUUUAGUUAUCAUUACUCCUUGUGGGUGGUGCUCUAGCUUUUUACUGGGCCAGCAUCAGUUUUGGUGACAGGAUAAUAGCAAUUGAAUGUGGCUCCUCGGAGUGUUAUAGCUUUUGUUGAUACUGUCUACUGGGACUGAGGUCUGCGGCUUUGCCUAGGAUGCUGGCGUAAUGAUCCAAUACCGC